RNAcentral lists this transfer RNA (70 nucleotides) under Neucentropus mandjuricus. RNAcentral describes it as "tRNA-His". Lineage: Eukaryota; Metazoa; Arthropoda; Insecta; Trichoptera; Polycentropodidae. The record is from RNAcentral.
AUUUAUAUAGUUUAAUUUUUAAAACGUUAAUUUGUGGAAUUAAAGAUGUAAAUUUUGUUUACUUUAGAUA